GCCUGGGUGGCUCAGUUGGUUGAGCAUCCGACUUCGGCUCAGGUAAUGAUCUCGCGGUUCGUGGGUUCGAGUCCCACAUCGGGCU
Transfer RNA from Felis catus (domestic cat), 85 nucleotides. It matches the Rfam family "tRNA". From Rfam's summary of the family: Transfer RNA (tRNA) molecules are approximately 80 nucleotides in length. Their secondary structure includes four short double-helical elements and three loops (D, anti-codon, and T loops). Further hydrogen bonds mediate the characteristic L-shaped molecular structure. tRNAs have two regions of fundamental functional importance: the anti-codon, which is responsible for specific mRNA codon recognition, and the 3' end, to which the tRNAs corresponding amino acid is attached (by aminoacyl-tRNA synthetases). tRNAs cope with the degeneracy of the genetic code in two manners: having more than one tRNA (with a specific anti-codon) for a particular amino acid; and 'wobble' base-pairing, i.e. permitting non-standard base-pairing at the 3rd anti-codon position. Lineage: Eukaryota; Metazoa; Chordata; Mammalia; Carnivora; Felidae. The record is from Rfam.